This 427-nucleotide ribosomal RNA is filed under the name uncultured bacterium. Its description in RNAcentral is "bacterial SSU rRNA". It matches the Rfam family "Bacterial small subunit ribosomal RNA", at positions 355 to 774 of the family's 1533-position model. The record is from RNAcentral.
UGGGGAAUUUUGGACAAUGGGCGCAAGCCUGAUCCAGCCAUGCCGCGUGCGGGAAGAAGGCCUUCGGGUUGUAAACCGCUUUUGGCAGGAACGAAACGGCGCGAGCGAAUAUCUCGCGUUAAUGACGGUACCUGCAGAAUAAGCACCGGCUAACUACGUGCCAGCAGCCGCGGUAAUACGUAGGGUGCAAGCGUUAAUCGGAAUUACUGGGCGUAAAGCGUACGCAGGCGGCUUUGCAAGACAGGUGUGAAAUCCCCGGGCCUAACCUGGGAACUGCAUUUGUGACUGCAUAGCUAGAGUCUGUCAGAGGGGGGUGGAAUUCCACGUGUAGCAGUGAAAUGCGUAGAGAUGUGGAAGAACACCGAUGGCGAAGGCAGCCCCCUGGGAUGAGACUGACGCUCAUGUACGAAAGCGUGGGGAGCAAACA